UGGAGAGUAAAACCCUCGAGGCAGAGGGUUUUGUGACUUCUCCUUUGUUUCCCCACGCUCGCUUCCUCCUCCUUCCACUUCCUUGAAACCCAGCGCAGAGUGAGGGUCUCCUUCUCCGCCCGCUCCUGCUUAUCCUCUCAGCUCGGUUGAGCUCGAAAAAGUUUCUUUGGUUGUGGAAAGCAGCUGAUAGAAGGAGCAUUGAGAUGGCACAUGCUCGAGGAGGUGAUUUCAUGUUCUGUGAUUUGUGUGGAACGAUGAUGUUUUUAUAUUCAAAGGAGCAUGUUGAAUGUCCUUUGUGCAAAUUUAAGAAAAGUGCAAAAGAUCUAAGUGAAAGAGAAAUAAGCUAUCAAGUCAGCUCUGAGGAUAUGAGGAGGGAUCUAGGCAUCUCACAUUUUGAAGGAAAGAUGGAAGUGAAAGACAUGGAGAUAAAUAAGAAAUGUGAAAAAUGCGGCCACACAAAGCUUAAAUUUUCAACCAGACAAAUGAGAUCAGCAGACGAGGGCCAAACGACUUUUUUUCAUUGUGCUAAUUGCUCAUAUACAUUUACUGAGAACUGAGCAUCCAGAUGUUGGAGCUUUCAAGACUGACCUACAUAGAGCUCAGCAAUCUAGGCAAUGCAUGUGGUGGAAUCUACAACGAGGGGCUUGUUGGAAGCAUUACUUGUGCUGUUAAUUCCUUGGACCCUGGAUUUAGAGUUGUCUAAAGCCUCAAGAAUGUUUUGGAUGAAAGAGUAGUUAACAUGGAGGAGGAAAUUAAAAAGGUCAAAAUAGUAUAUUCAUCAUUUUUUAUGCCUACGUAUUCUUGUUGAGUUCAAAGGUUUAUUAAGUAAAGGAGACGGGUGAAGAAAUGUGUGGCUAAGCAUUAUCCCUGUUAAGGAAAACUUGGAUAUUUUCCUAGAUUGCCAUAUAGACUUGAAUUUGAGUAUUUGGCUUGCAAUAUAAGAACGUACAGAGAAGGACUUCUGAGCUUCUGAAACAACAAUGAGAAAGAAACCAUGCUGAUUUUGUUAGUUCUUCAUGGAUUACGAGUUGCUAUCCAUGUGAAAUUGUAGUUUCCAGAAAUUUAUAUUUAUUUAACAAGCUUCCAGUACAAAUUUACAAGUUUAUUGAUCCUCUUGAGCUCUGUCAAUCAUGUUGAACUCACAUCAAUGAUCCAUUACCGCUGGCACUUCCACUGGAUACUGGUCGAUCCUGUCUGACCAAACAUUCAAAUUAUCUGGUUUGAUCUUGGAAAUGCACUUCCAAACUGCACUAUUACAUUUAAAUCCACUCCCAAAUGCCAGUUGCCAAACCCUGUCACCCUGUCUAACCCUACCUUUUGCUUCAAGAUAGCUCAGUGAGUACCAAGUUGAUGAAGAAGAUGUGUUCCCAAACCUAUAAAGUGUCAUUUUUGAUGCCUCCACAUCCCUAUCUUUCAACUUAAGGAACUCCUUUAUAGCUCCAAUCACAGCUCUGCCACCAGCAUGAAUGCAAAAGUGAUCAAAAGCCUUCUUGAAGUCUGGAAUGCAGGAACCUCUCUUCUUUGCAGGAGGCCAAACUUUCUUCCACAUAAUUGAUAGACCAUAUUGGAUUAGCUCAGAGUAAGGCAGCACAAGCGCAGCUAAUGUUGUCAUGUUAGUUUUCAGUGCUUCUCCGGCUACUUGCGGGAUGGAUCUCGACAAUGAUACUCCGGUGUACCCUUCAUCAUCUGCUUCCUGAACAACACAUUUGUAUGAAUUAUCCUUAGAUCCAAGAUGAGUCCUAACCAGAUGUUGGAGUUCAUAUUUAGCAAUCUGUCUGUCACUUUUGCGAUUUGAUAGCAAAAUCGCAGCACCUCCCAUUCGAAACAAGCAGUUUGCCAGUAGCAUAGACUUGACUUGUCCAUGGUACAUGUUGGAACUCACCGAUUCCAUGCUGAGGACUAGAGCCAAAGAGUUGUUGUGCGCUCCGAGGAGGUCUCGAGCUAGCGAAAUUGACAAGAGGCCAGCACUGCAGCCCAUCCCAGAAAGAUUGAAGCUCCUUAUAUUGCUUCUAAAUCCAAAUUUAUUGAUCAUCAUUGUGGCUAAAGAUGGAGUGGGGCAUACAAGACUGCAAUUUGUGAUGAUAAUGUCAACGCUUUUCGGAUCAAUCCUGUGCUUGGUGAAUAGGUCUUGGACUAUUGUGAAUAGCACCAUUUCCACUUCUUCAAUGGUAGAACUCAAGGAAAGAUCACAUGGAAAUUGGUGGACUCCCGUGGGCAAGAAGAGAGGGGAACUCGGAGAGUGUUUGGUGCCUUGUAGCACAUGAAGUCAACAAGAUAAACAUGCUUGGAAUUGAAUGAAAGGUACAAAGCAAUUGCCACCGAGAGAGUAACCGCUGCUAGCACUCUGAAAUCAGCAACCAGGAUUAAGAUUUCAGCAAUCCUGGUUUGCUCUAACAUGAAGCUCUGAUCUUUUGCCAUUUUUCUGUUCUUGGGUGAAUCUUGAAUCAUGCUCUAGUAAGCUAUAAUGUCUCUAUAUAUGAGUGAACGCGAUUAAUUUUUA
RNA transcript from Populus trichocarpa (black cottonwood), 2500 nucleotides. RefSeq lists it as uncharacterized. The record is from RefSeq and is a predicted model, not a curated record. NCBI's taxonomy places the organism in Eukaryota, Viridiplantae, Streptophyta, Magnoliopsida, Malpighiales, Salicaceae. The transcript is spliced from 9 exons.